Molecule: ribosomal RNA, 468 nt
Filed under: uncultured bacterium
Lineage: Bacteria
Description: partial 16S ribosomal RNA
Rfam family: Bacterial small subunit ribosomal RNA
Source: RNAcentral
GACGAACGCUGGCGGCGUGCUUAACACAUGCAAGUCGAACGGAAAGGCCCUGCUUUUGUGGGGUGCUCGAGUGGCGAACGGGUGAGUAACACGUGAGUAACCUGCCCUUGACUUUGGGAUAACUUCAGGAAACUGGGGCUAAUACCGGAUAGGAGCUCCUGCUGCAUGGUGGGGGUUGGAAAGUUUCGGCGGUUGGGGAUGGACUCGCGGCUUAUCAGCUUGUUGGUGGGGUAGUGGCUUACCAAGGCUUUGACGGGUAGCCGGCCUGAGAGGGUGACCGGCCACAUUGGGACUGAGAUACGGCGCAGAGUCCUACGGGAGGCAGCAGUGGGGAAUAUUGCACAAUGGGCGGAAGCCUGAUGCAGCAACGCCGCGUGCGGGAUGACGGCCUUCGGGUUGUAAACCGCUUUCGCCUGUGACGAAGCGUGAGUGACGGUAAUGGGUAAAGAAGCACCGGCUAACUACGUG